This 251-nucleotide ribosomal RNA is filed under the name uncultured bacterium. RNAcentral describes it as "partial 16S ribosomal RNA". It matches the Rfam family "Bacterial small subunit ribosomal RNA", at positions 524 to 776 of the family's 1533-position model. The record is from RNAcentral.
GACAGAGGGUGCAAACGUUGUUCGGAAUUACUGGGCGUAAAGCGUGUGUAGGCGGCCAGGCAAGUCGGGUGAAAGCCCCAGGCUCAACCUGGGAAGUGCACCCGAAACUGCUUGGCUUGAGUAUCGGAGAGGUUGGUGGAAUUCUCGGUGUAGAGGUGAAAUUCGUAGAUAUCGAGAGGAACACCGGUGGCGAAGGCGGAUCUCUGGGCCUUACCUGACGCUGAGGCGCGAAAGCUAGGGGAGCGAACAGG